This 1482-nucleotide ribosomal RNA is filed under the name uncultured Bordetella sp. RNAcentral describes it as "partial 16S-23S ribosomal RNA intergenic spacer". It matches the Rfam family "Bacterial small subunit ribosomal RNA". The record is from RNAcentral. Lineage: Bacteria; Pseudomonadati; Pseudomonadota; Betaproteobacteria; Burkholderiales; Alcaligenaceae.
UUCUGGCUCAGAUUGAACGCUGGCGGGAUACUUUACACAUGCAAGUCGAACGCUUCAGCACGGACUUCGGUCUGGUGGCGGUGGCGAACGGGUGAUAAUGCUUGUCGGAACGUGCCUAGUAGCGGGGGAUAACUACGCGAAAGCAGCUAAUGCCGCAUACGCCCGCUCGGGAAAGCAGGGGACCUUCGGGCCUCGCACUAUUAGAGCGGCCGAUAUCGGAUUAGCUGGUUGGUGGGGUAACGGCUCACCAAGGCGACGAUCCGUAGCUGGUUUGAGAGGACAUGCCCGACCAGCCACACUAGGACUGGAGACACGGCCCAGACUCCUACGGGAGGCAGCAGUGGGGAAUUUUGGACAGUAGGGGAAACCUGAUCCAACUUCAUCCCGUAUGCGAUGAAGGCCAACCGGGUUGUAAAAAACACUUUUAGCAGGAGAAACGUACGGGAUAAUACCCCGUGCAGCUGACGGUACCUGCAGAAUAAGCACCGGCCUUUACAUUGCCUUCAUACGCGGUAAUACGUAGGGUGCAAGCGUUAAUCGGAAUUACUGGGCGUAAUAAAGCGUGCGCAGGCGGUUCCGGAAAGAAAAGAUGUGAAAUCCCAAAGCGCAACUUUGGAACUGCAUUUUUAACUGCCGGGCUAGAGUGUGUCAGAGAGUUGGAAUUACGCGUGUAGCAGUGAAAUGCGUAGAUAUGCGGAGGAACGCACACACCGAUGGCGAGCGGCCUCGCAGGAUAACACUGACGCUCAUGCACCGAAAGCGUGGGGAGCAAACAGGAUUAGAUACCUGGUGAUCCGCUAAACGUGUCAACUAGCUGUUGGGAGCCUUCGGGCCUUGGUAGCGCAGCUAACGCGUGAAGUUGACCGCCUGGGGAAUGCGGUCGCAAGAUUAAAACUCAAAGGAAUUGACAGGGAUACACAAGCGGUGGAUGAUAUUGGAUUAAUUCGAUGCAACGCGAAAAAUAUACCUACCCUUGACAUGUCUGGAAUCCCGAAGAGAUUUGGGAGUGCUCGCAAGAGGGAACCGGAACACAGGUGCUGCAUGGCUGUCGUCAGCUCGUGUCGUGAAGAUGUUGGGUUAAGUCCGCAACGAGCGCAGCCAUGUCAUUUAGUUUUGCUACGAAGGAGCACUCUAAUGAGACUGCCGGUGACAAACUGGAGGAAGGUGGGGAUGACGUCAAGUCCUCAUGGCCCUUGCUUAGGUAGGGGCUUCCACGUCAUACAAUGGUCGGGACAGAGGGUCGCCAACCCGCCGGGGGCCAAUCCCAGAAACCCGAUCGUAGUCCGGAUCGCGAUGCAACUCGACUGCGUGAGUCGGAAUCGCUAGUAAUCGCGGAUCAGCAUGUCGCAGUGAAUACGUUCCCGGGUCUUGUACACCGCCCGUCACCUGGCAGGGUGGGUUUUGCAGAAGUAGUUAGCCUAACCGUAAGGAGGGCGAUUACCACGGUAAGUUCGCGGCUGGGGUGAAGUCGUAACAAAAUGG